Molecule: small nucleolar RNA, 205 nt
Filed under: Dasypus novemcinctus (nine-banded armadillo)
Lineage: Eukaryota; Metazoa; Chordata; Mammalia; Cingulata; Dasypodidae
Description: Small nucleolar RNA U3 (ENSDNOG00000027403.2)
Rfam family: Small nucleolar RNA U3
About the family: Small nucleolar RNAs (snoRNAs) are involved in the processing and modification of rRNA in the nucleolus. There are two main classes of snoRNAs: the box C/D class, and the box H/ACA class.
Source: RNAcentral
AGGACUGUACUUUCAGGAUGGUUUCUACAGUCCGUUAGAGAAGGCUCCUUGAACAUGCGGGGCAUGGAAAACUGCGCGGUGGCGGCCGGCGCUCUCCUGAGCGUGCAGUGGGCUCAAGUGUUGCUUUCUGCAACUGCCUACUGCCCCUGAGGAUUGCUCUCCCCCACUGCCGGGAGUAAGAGGAAGAGAAGGCAGGGUGAGCGGC